RNAcentral lists this transfer RNA (62 nucleotides) under Cavia porcellus (domestic guinea pig). It matches the Rfam family "tRNA", at positions 1 to 61 of the family's 71-position model. Rfam says of the family: Transfer RNA (tRNA) molecules are approximately 80 nucleotides in length. Their secondary structure includes four short double-helical elements and three loops (D, anti-codon, and T loops). Lineage: Eukaryota; Metazoa; Chordata; Mammalia; Rodentia; Caviidae. The record is from Rfam by way of RNAcentral.
GGAAAUGUAGCUCAGUGGUAGAGCGUUUGCUUAUGAAACAAAAGACCACGGGUUCAAUCCCU